AAAGGAUCUGUAUGAAACACAAGGUGGAAAGAAAUGGAAGGAAAAUUAAACUAACGCCAACAGUUCAGCUUUGCCAAA
Tursiops truncatus (common bottlenose dolphin) is the source of this 78-nucleotide non-coding RNA. The record is from Rfam. NCBI's taxonomy places the organism in Eukaryota, Metazoa, Chordata, Mammalia, Artiodactyla, Delphinidae.